UAUAAAUUUGAUUUUGGUUUAUUUUUAAUUGGUAUAAUUUUAUACAUGUUAGGUUUAUGUGGGGAUAUGCACUUAUCUUAUAUUUUAUAAAUAUAUUUAUAUAUUAAAUAUUAAGUAUAUUUAUAAAUAUUAUUUAUAUUAUUAAAUGUUGUUUAAUAUAAUUUUUUGUAAGAUAUUCAGUAUAUAUAUUUAUACAAUGAAUGAAAGUUUUAUAUAGAAAUUAUACAAUAUAAUUGGAUAAAUUUGUGCCAGCAUCUGCGGUUAUACAAAUAAUUUAAAUUAAAAAUGUUUGGUGAAAAAUAAAGUAAUAUAUUUAUAUUAUUAAUAUUGAUAGGAAGAUAUAUAGUUAAUUUUUAGGUAAAAUUUUUAAAUUGAUUUGUUUUUUAUAUUUUUCUUUAUUAUUAAUACUUUAAAAAUUUGAAAAUAAACUAGGAUUAGAUACCCUAUUAUUUUAAAUUAUAAAAAAUAAUUAUAUUUACCUAAGUAUUAUGAAAGUAUAAUUAUUAUGAAAAUAAUUCUUUUUAAAACUUAAAAGGUUUGGCGGUUUUACAUAUCCAAUUAGGGGAGUUUGUUAAUUAAUUUGAUAAUCCUCAAUUUAGACUUACUUUUUUUUGAUAUAUAUAUACAGUUUGUAUAUUGCUGUCAUUAGUUUAUAUUUUAAAAAUAAUUAAAGGACUAUUAAAUUAUUUGGUUUUUAUGUCAAGUCAUAAUGCAGCUUAUAGAAAAGAUUUAGUGAACUACUAUAAUUAAUUUUAUUAAAUUCCGGAUUUUAAAAAUUAUUUUUAUUAGAAAGGUGGACUUAAUAGUAAAAUGUAAUUAGUAUGUAUUAUUGAAUAUUGGUUUUGUAAGGUGUACAUAUCGCCCGUCACUCUUGUUUUAUAGAUAAGAUAAGUCGUAACAUAGUAGAGGUAAUGGAAAUUGUUUCUGGAUUAAU
RNAcentral lists this non-coding RNA (934 nucleotides) under Graneledone verrucosa. The record is from RNAcentral. Lineage: Eukaryota; Metazoa; Mollusca; Cephalopoda; Octopoda; Octopodidae.